Molecule: ribosomal RNA, 446 nt
Filed under: uncultured bacterium
Lineage: Bacteria
Description: bacterial SSU rRNA
Rfam family: Bacterial small subunit ribosomal RNA
Source: RNAcentral
UACCAGACUCCUACGGGAGGCAGCAGUGGGGAAUAUUGCACAAUGGGCGAAAGCCUGAUGCAGCAACGCCGCGUGAAGGAAGACGGUUUUCGGAUUGUAAACUUCUGUUCUUAGUGAAGAAUAAUGACGGUAACUAAGGAGCAAGCCACGGCUAACUACGUGCCAGCAGCCGCGGUAAUACGUAGGUGGCAAGCGUUGUCCGGAAUUACUGGGUGUAAAGGGAGCGUAGGCGGGAAAGCAAGUUGAAUGUUUAAGGUACGGGCUCAACCUGUACAAGCGUUCAAAACUGUUUUUCUUGAGUGGAGUAGAGGUAAGCGGAAUUCCUAGUGUAGCGGUGAAAUGCGUAAAUAUUAGGAGGAACACCAGUGGCGAAGGCGGCUUACUGGGCUUUAACUGACGCUGAGGCUCGAAAGCGUGGGUAGCAAACAGGAUUAGAUACCCCCGUA